RNAcentral lists this ribosomal RNA (467 nucleotides) under uncultured bacterium. RNAcentral's name for it is "partial 16S ribosomal RNA". It matches the Rfam family "Bacterial small subunit ribosomal RNA", at positions 28 to 507 of the family's 1533-position model. The record is from RNAcentral.
GAUGAACGCUGGCGGCGCGCCUAACACAUGCAAGUCGAACGAUUAAAGCACCUUCGGGUGUGUAUAAAGUGGCGAACGGCUGAGUAACACGUGGGCAACCUGCCCCUUUCAUUGGGAUAGCCACGGGAAACCGUAGAUAAUACCGAAUACUUCGAGACUUCCGCAUGGAAGACUCGAGAAAGCUCCGGCGGAGAGGGAUGGGCCCGCGGCCUGUUAGCUUGUUGGUGGGGUAACGGCCUACCAAGGCAAUGAUGGGUAGCUGGGUUGAGAGACCGACCAGCCAGAUUGGGACUGAGACACGGCCCAGACUCCUACGGGAGGCAGCAGUGGGGUAUCUUGCACAAUGGGCGAAAGCCUGAUGCAGCGACGCCGCGUGCGGGAUGAAGGCCUUCGGGUUGUAAACCGCUUUCAGCAGGGACGAGGCGAAAGUGACGGUACCUGCAGAAGAAGCCCCGGCUAACUACGUG